GGGGGUGUACCGGUUUCGACUGGCGUAGAUCAGGCCAGUGGCUGCAAGCGGAGCGCCAACUCCCAAAACUAGCAAACAAAAUUAACUGCUAAAAAAGACGAAGAAUACUUCGAAACUGCAGAAUACGCUUUCGCUGCUUAAUUGUAGUUAGCGUACAGGCUUUUAGGGUGCCGCUCUUAACUCUAAGAUGCUUGUAACAAUAGGAGCUUACUUUUAUAAUUGCUGGCACAAUAAAAGGACAUUUUAGUCAGCUUGGAUAGAACGUAGUUUGUUAAUGUGCAAUGUUCUAUCGACAAUUACUCAUUAACUAAGCUUGUAGACGUCAGUGGGUGGCACGUUAGGACGGGGGUUCGAAUCCCCCCACCUCCACUA
Molecule: transfer-messenger RNA, 372 nt
Filed under: Sphaerochaetaceae bacterium
Lineage: Bacteria; Pseudomonadati; Spirochaetota; Spirochaetia; Spirochaetales; Sphaerochaetaceae
Rfam family: transfer-messenger RNA
About the family: Bacterial tmRNA, also known as 10Sa RNA or SsrA, is named for its dual tRNA and mRNA-like properties. Its role is to liberate the mRNA from a stalled ribosome.
Source: RNAcentral